This 844-nucleotide ribosomal RNA is filed under the name uncultured bacterium. Its description in RNAcentral is "bacterial SSU rRNA". It matches the Rfam family "Bacterial small subunit ribosomal RNA", at positions 78 to 908 of the family's 1533-position model. The record is from RNAcentral.
AAACUAGAUACAAGCGAGCGGCGGACGGGUGAGUAACACGUGGGUAACCUGCCCAAGAGACUGGGAUAACACCUGGAAACAGAUGCUAAUACCGGAUAACAACACUAGACGCAUGUCUAGAGUUUGAAAGAUGGUUCUGCUGUCACUCUUGGAUGGACCUGCGGUGCAUUAGCUAGUUGGUAAGGUAACGGCUUACCAAGGCAAUGAUGCAUAGCCGAGUUGAGAGACUGAUCGGCCACAUUGGGACUGAGACACGGCCCAAACUCCUACGGGAGGCAGCAGUAGGGAAUCUUCCACAAUGGACGAAAGUCUGAUGGAGCAACGCCGCGUGAGUGAAGAAGGGUUUCGGCUCGUAAAGCUCUGUUGAUAGUGAAGAAAGAUAGAGGUAGUAACUGGCCUUUAUUUGACGGUAAUUACUUAGAAAGUCACGGCUAACUACGUGCCAGCAGCCGCGGUAAUACGUAGGUGGCAAGCGUUGUCCGGAUUUAUUGGGCGUAAAGCGAGUGCAGGCGGUUCAAUAAGUCUGAUGUGAAAGCCUUCGGCUCAACCGGAGAAUUGCAUCAGAAACUGUUGAACUUGAGUGCAGAAGAGGAGAGUGGAACUCCAUGUGUAGCGGUGGAAUGCGUAGAUAUAUGGAAGAACACCAGUGGCGAAGGCGGCUCUCUGGUCUGCAACUGACGCUGAGGCUCGAAAGCAUGGGUAGCGAACAGGAUUAGAUACCCUGGUAGUCCAUGCCGUAAACGAUGAGUGCUAAGUGUUGGGAGGUUUCCGCCUCUCAGUGCUGCAGCUAACGCAUUAAGCACUCCGCCUGGGGAGUACGACCGCAAGGUUGAAACUCAAAGGA